Molecule: ribosomal RNA, 331 nt
Filed under: uncultured eukaryote
Lineage: Eukaryota
Description: partial 18S ribosomal RNA
Rfam family: Eukaryotic small subunit ribosomal RNA
Source: RNAcentral
CCCUUAGAUGUUCUGGGCCGCACGCGCGCUACACUGAAUGGAUCAACGUGUUUUCCCUUCCCGAGAGGGACGGGUAACCCGCUGAACCCCAUUCGUGGUAGGGAUCGGAGCUUGCAAUUGUUCUCCGUGAACCAGGAAUUCCCAGUAAGCGCAAGUCAUAAGCUUGCGUUGAUUACGUCCCUGCCCUUUGUACACACCGCCCGUCGCUACUACCGAUUGAAUGGUUUAGUGAGAUCCUCGGAUUGGCCAUCUCGGCGUGACUUCGGUUGUGCACGUGGUGGCCGAGAAGACGAUCAAACUUGAUCAUUUAGAGGAAGUAAAAGUCGUAACA